GGAAUAUUGGACAAUGGGCGCAAGCCUGAUCCAGCCAUCCCGCGUGAAGGAUGAAGGCCCUCUGGGUCGUAAACUUCUUUUAUCUGGGAAUAAAAACUCGUAUUUAUAUGAGCUUGAAGGUACCAGAGGAAUAAGCACCGGCUAACUCCGUGCCAGCAGCCGCGGUAAUACGGAGGGUGCAAGCGUUAUCCGGAUUCACUGGGUUUAAAGGGUGCGUAGGUGGCUUUGUAAGUCAGUGGUGAAAGCCCGG
Molecule: ribosomal RNA, 250 nt
Filed under: uncultured bacterium
Lineage: Bacteria
Description: partial 16S ribosomal RNA
Rfam family: Bacterial small subunit ribosomal RNA
Source: RNAcentral